This 472-nucleotide ribosomal RNA is filed under the name uncultured bacterium. Its description in RNAcentral is "SSU rRNA". It matches the Rfam family "Bacterial small subunit ribosomal RNA", at positions 26 to 507 of the family's 1533-position model. The record is from RNAcentral.
AGGAUGAACGCUGGCGGCGUGCCUAACACAUGCAAGUCGAACGCGCUCCAUUCGGUAGCAAUACUGAUGAAGAGUGAGUGGCGAACGGGUGAGUAACACAUGAGCAACCUGCCCCGAAGACUGGGACAACACCGGGAAACCGGUGCUAAUACCGGAUAUCCCUAUCGGACCGCAUGAUCUGAUAAGGAAAUGGAUUCCGCUUCGGGAGGGGCUCGUGGCCUAUCAGCUAGUUGGUGAGGUAAUAGCUCACCAAGGCAUCGACGGGUAGCUGGUCUGAGAGGACGAUCAGCCACACUGGGACUGAGACACGGCCCAGACUCCUACGGGAGGCAGCAGUGGGGAAUCUUGCGCAAUGGGCGAAAGCCUGACGCAGCAACGCCGCGUGGAGGACGAAUGCUUUCUGAGUUGUAAACUCCUUUCAGCAGGGACGAUUGUGACGGUACCUGCAGAAGAAGCACCGGCCAACUACGUG